GACGAACGCUGGCGGCGUGCUUAACACAUGCAAGUCGAACGGAAAGGCCCUGCUUUUGUGGGGUGCUCGAGUGGCGAACGGGUGAGUAACACGUGAGUAACCUGCCCUUGACUUUGGGAUAACUUCAGGAAACUGGGGCUAAUACCGGAUAGGAGCUCCUGCUGCAUGGUGGGGGUUGGAAAGUUUCGGCGGUUGGGGAUGGGCUCGCGGCUUAUCAGCUUGUUGGUGGGGUAGUGGCUUACCAAGGCUUUGACGGGUGGCCGGCCUGAGAGGGUGACCGGCCACAUUGGGACUGAGAUACGGCCCAGACUCCUACGGGAGGCAGCAGUGGGGAAUAUUGCACAAUGGGCGGAAGCCUGAUGCAGCAACGCCGCGUGCGGGAUGACGGGCUUCGGGUUGUAAACCGCUUUCGCCUGUGACGAAGCGUGAGUGACGGUAAUGGGUAAAGAAGCACCGGCUAACUACGUG
Molecule: ribosomal RNA, 468 nt
Filed under: uncultured bacterium
Lineage: Bacteria
Description: partial 16S ribosomal RNA
Rfam family: Bacterial small subunit ribosomal RNA
Source: RNAcentral